GCACAAGCGGUGGAGCAUGUGGUUUAAUUCGAUGAUACGCGAGGAACCUUACCUGGGCUCAAAUGUAUGUUGACGUAUUCUGAAAGGGAUACUUCUUCGGACAAUAUACAAGGUGCUGCAUGGUUGUCGUCAGCUCGUGCCGUGAGGUGUCGGGUUAAGUCCCAUAACGAGCGCAACCCCUACCUUUAGUUGCCAUCAGGUUAAGCUGGGGACUCUAAAGGAACUGCCUACGCAAGUAGUGAGGAAGGCGGGGAUGACGUCAAAUCAGCACGGCCCUUACGUCCAGGGCUACACACGUGCUACAAUGGCCGAUACAGAGGGCAGCUACCUGGUGACAGGAUGCAAAUCUCCAAAGUCGGUCUCAGUUCGGAUCGGAGUCUGCAACCCGACUCCGUGAAGUUGGAUUCGCUAGUAAUCGCGCAUCAGCCAUGGCGCGGUGAAUACGUUCCCGGGCCUU
RNAcentral lists this ribosomal RNA (457 nucleotides) under uncultured Sphingobacteriales bacterium. Its description in RNAcentral is "bacterial SSU rRNA". It matches the Rfam family "Bacterial small subunit ribosomal RNA", at positions 923 to 1382 of the family's 1533-position model. The record is from RNAcentral. Lineage: Bacteria; Pseudomonadati; Bacteroidota; Sphingobacteriia; Sphingobacteriales.